This 733-nucleotide small RNA is filed under the name Pongo abelii (Sumatran orangutan). RNAcentral describes it as "retained intron". The record is from RNAcentral. Lineage: Eukaryota; Metazoa; Chordata; Mammalia; Primates; Hominidae.
CUGGGUUGCCACCUCCCCUUCUCCCACCCUCUAUUUGGUCCCUUGGCAGGGCCUGUGUGCCAAGUGCUGGCUCCGCAGUGCCCACUAGCUGCCUCUGUGCCCAGCACGUACCUUGGCGCAUGCGCUGCAGUGCCCUGCAGGCCUCUGGUGGGGCUGCCUGUGCCCCGCCCCUCCAGGCCUGCUGAGGCCCCACCUCUGCCACACAGGCCUACGUGGAGAAGUACAAGUUCACCAGCGUGGUGGCCCAGGACCUGCUGGACUCCUUCCUGAGCUUCUUCCCGGAGCUGAAGGAGCAGAGCGUGGACUGCCGGGCAGGGCUGGAAUUCGAGCGCUGGCUCAAUGCCACAGGCCCGCCGCUGGCUGAGCCGGACCUGUCUCAGGGAUCCAGCCUGACCCGGCCCGUGGAGGCCCUUUUCCAGCUGUGGACUGCAGAACCUCUGGACCAGGCAGCUGCCUCGGCCAGCGCCAUUGACAUCUCCAAGUGGAGGACCUUCCAGACAGCACUCUUCCUGGACCGGCUCCUGGAUGGGUCCCCACUGCCACAGGAGGUGGUGAUGAGCCUGUCCAAGUGCUACUCCUCCCUGCUGGACUCGAUGAACGCUGAGAUCCGCAUCCGCUGGCUGCAGAUCGUGGUCCGCAACGACUACUAUCCUGACCUCCACAGGGUGCGGCGCUUCCUGGAGAGCCAGAUGUCACGCAUGUACACCAUCCCGCUGUACGAGGACCUCUGCAC